GUGCUUGCUUGGGCAGCACAUACACCAAAACUAGAAUGAUACACACAAGAUUAGCAUGGCCUCUCCCUAAGGAAGUGACUUCUAGAGACAGAUUCCCUAAGUUA
Small nuclear RNA from Suricata suricatta (meerkat), 104 nucleotides. The record is from Ensembl. Lineage: Eukaryota; Metazoa; Chordata; Mammalia; Carnivora; Herpestidae.